GCGAACGCUGGCGGCAGGCUUAACACAUGCAAGUCGAGCGGGCGUAGCAAUACGUCAGCGGCAGACGGGUGAGUAACGCGUGGGAACAUACCUCUUGGUUCGGAACAACACAGGGAAACUUGUGCUAAUACCGGAUAAGCCCUUACGGGAAGGAUUAUCGCCGAGAGAUUGGCCCGCGUCUGAUUAGCUAGUUGGUGAGGUAACGGCUCACCAAGGCGACGAUCAGAGCUGGUCUGAGAGGAUGAUCAGCCACAUUGGG
This 259-nucleotide ribosomal RNA is filed under the name uncultured bacterium. RNAcentral's name for it is "partial 16S ribosomal RNA". It matches the Rfam family "Bacterial small subunit ribosomal RNA", at positions 29 to 317 of the family's 1533-position model. The record is from RNAcentral.